Molecule: ribosomal RNA, 253 nt
Filed under: uncultured bacterium
Lineage: Bacteria
Description: partial 16S ribosomal RNA
Rfam family: Bacterial small subunit ribosomal RNA
Source: RNAcentral
UACGUAGGGUGCGAGCGUUAAUCGGAAUUACUGGGCGUAAAGCGUGCGCAGGCGGUUCGCUAAGACCGAUGUGAAAUCCCCGGGCUUAACCUGGGAACUGCAUUGGUGAUUGGCGGGCUAGAGUAUGGCAGAGGGGGGUAGAAUUCCACGUGUAGCAGUGAAAUGCGUAGAGAUGUGGAGGAAUACCGAUGGCGAAGGCAGCCCCCUGGGCCAAUACUGACGCUCAUGCACGAAAGCGUGGGGAGCAAACAGG